GUGAAGAACGUAGCGAAACGCGAUAAGUAAUGUGAAUUGCAGAAUCCAGUGAAUCAUCGAAUCUUUGAACGCACAUUGCGCCCGCCAGCAUUCUGGCGGGCAUGCCUGUUCGAGCGUCAUUUCAACCCUCGACCUCCCCUUGGGGAGGUCGGCGUUGGGGACCGGCAGCACACCGCCGGCCCUGAAAUGGAGUGGCGGCCCGUCCGCGGCGACCUCUGCGCAGUAAUACAGCUCGCACCGGGACCCCGACGCGGCCACGCCGUAAAACACCCAACUUCUGAACGUUGACCUCGAAUCAGGUAGGACUACCCGCUGAACUUAAGCAUAUCAAUAAGCGGAGGA
Molecule: unclassified non-coding RNA, 342 nt
Filed under: soil metagenome
Description: partial contains 5.8S ribosomal RNA, internal transcribed spacer 2, and large subunit ribosomal RNA
Rfam family: 5.8S ribosomal RNA (bases 2-119)
Source: RNAcentral